GAAGAGCCUUUACCCACGAGGAGUACUGAAUAAAUAGACUUUUGCUAUUUCUCUCCAAAGAGGUUGGGAAGGAACCACUCAUGAGGAAAGCCUGGAGGGUACAAAUUGUCAGAAUGAAGUAUGGUCCUUUGUUCAGAAUCAGAAGAGUUAACCACUCAAAUCAUAAAAUACCAGCUGAAGCUCACUUCACCAAGCAGAGGGGAGCAACAUGCAAAGAAGAGAAACAGGACAACACUGAAAAUACUCGAGAUAUAAUCUCUCCAGAUUAAAUCAAGACGAGUCCACUUGGGAUCCUAGAGGUCAUGCUUUUGACGAAAAGAUCUAGGAAGCAUGCUUCAAGGUAGCACAGAAGAGAGUCAGAGCUUUUUGUCUUCUUUUUUUAAUUUAAUAAAACAGAAUGAGAUUGAGCGAUGCAGAAUAAGCUGCCUAUCUGAGAGCUGCCUGAGGCUGAAGGAAGAGAUACGACAUUGAGACAGAGCUAACCUAACUGGCUCUCAUGGGGAUUGAUCGCAUGCCUGACCUUCCACUACAGUGUUCUAAGCAUUUGAGAUAACUGGGUGUGCCUCCCCUACAAAUGCAACAGGUUGAGUCUGGAGGGAAAAAAUGGGACAAGAUCUGAAUGAGUGCUGAGUCUACACUGAGGAGCCUUGACUUCGGUAAUAUCCUUACAUAUGGAGUUGUUUAGGAAGAGAAUGCUGUUAAAUGCUGUGAUUUCUAAAACCCACCUUGGACCAGAGAUGAUGCUAACGUUUGUCACUUGGUGACAUCAAGAGGUGUCUCAGAUGGAAGAAAAAGUAGAGGAAAAUAUGUGAAGGCUGGUGAAGAAUACAGUCAAGAGUUGAGGAUGAGCUGAAGUAGUGACCAUGGUGAUGAUGCUGGCAGGUGCAAAAGCUACUUAGGAGCCAGGAUUGAUAACUGGAAGUGACAAUCAACCAGAUAUGGAAGGUGAGAGAGACGAAAGAUGAAGCUUCAGUGCCUCUUGGCUUUCUAGCCUAGGGAAUGGGUUAAUUCUCCAAGAGAGGAAAUAUAGGAGAGGCUCUAAGUUUGGUAGGGGGGUAGACUGUUAAAUUUAGUAUUGUUAUUGGUACUCAUUGCUCCUUGGAUUGUAAUUAUGGUAUUGGUAUUUUCUCUAUGAGGCUUAAAACAUAUCCCAGGAAGGAUAAUUUCACUCACUGACAU
This is a long non-coding RNA of Neofelis nebulosa (Clouded leopard), 1179 nucleotides long. RefSeq lists it as uncharacterized. Lineage: Eukaryota; Metazoa; Chordata; Mammalia; Carnivora; Felidae. The transcript has 4 exons. The record is from RefSeq and is a predicted model, not a curated record.